UGCUGGUGAUAAGAAUUAGAUUAUUGAAGCAGAAAUUGCAAGGAAGAUGGAAAUGCAAAACCUCUAGAGGUUGGUUUCCGAGUGAAUUAAAUCUUAAUAAAUCAAAUCUACUCAUCUCAAGGGGAGUUAUCUCAUGAUUUGUCUACCUAAUCUGACAAGUCAAAAGAGACGGAAGAAUUCAAAAGAUCUCUUUACGCUAUGUUUGGGAAAAGAGAGAGUAAAAAGGAAAAGACACUUGGCAGCAGGCAAUUUGAUCAGGUGGCCAUCACUCUAUUGCAAAGCCAACCUCAGGAAAUAAGGAAACGUGGCACAGCCUGGGA
Molecule: long non-coding RNA, 320 nt
Organism: Mangifera indica (mango)
Lineage: Eukaryota; Viridiplantae; Streptophyta; Magnoliopsida; Sapindales; Anacardiaceae
Exons: 2
Source: RefSeq, a predicted model, not a curated record